This 498-nucleotide ribosomal RNA is filed under the name uncultured bacterium. RNAcentral describes it as "partial 16S ribosomal RNA". It matches the Rfam family "Bacterial small subunit ribosomal RNA", at positions 28 to 523 of the family's 1533-position model. The record is from RNAcentral.
GAUGAACGCUAGCGGCAGGCCUAAUACAUUCAAGUCGGACGGGAUUCACCAGCUUGCUGGUGAUGAGAGUGGCGCACGGGUGCGUAACGCGUGAGCAACCUGCCCAUCUCAGGGGGAUAGCCCGGAUAAAUCCGGAUUAAGACCGCAUCAUACAGAUUGACUGCAUGGUUAAACUGUUACAUAUUUAUAGGAUAUGGAUGGGCUCGCGUGACAUUAGCUAGUUGGUAGGGUAACGGCCUACCAAGGCGACGAUGUCUAGGGGCUCUGAGAGGAGAAUCCCCCACACUGGUACUGAGACACGGACCAGACUCCUACGGGAGGCAGCAGUAAGGAAUAUUGGUCAAUGGAGGCAACUCUGAACCAGCCAUGCCGCGUGCAGGAAGACGGCCCUACGGGUUGUAAACUGCUUUUGUACGGGAAUAACCCCCAAUACGGGUAUUGGGCUGAAUGUACCGUAAGAAUAAGGAUCGGCUAACUCCGUGCCAGCCGCCGCCGUAA